Homarus americanus (American lobster) is the source of this 2010-nucleotide long non-coding RNA. RefSeq lists it as uncharacterized. The transcript is spliced from 2 exons. The record is from RefSeq and is a predicted model, not a curated record. NCBI's taxonomy places the organism in Eukaryota, Metazoa, Arthropoda, Malacostraca, Decapoda, Nephropidae.
CGUCGUCGUCGGGUAUUUGACGUGCAUCCGGAGUAGAACGAGGGCACGCGUCGAACCGUCGAAAGUGCGCAAGAAAUGAGAUCGCGUAAAUAACGGCAGAUUAAUUUCGUCGACACUCGUACGUAUAAGAGUGCAAAGUAAAUAAAUAAUACGUAUUUUUUUUAUGGGAAUUAGCCCACCCGGGCACGGGUCACCGACCCACAUCGGGGCGAAAAUGUAAUAAUAAUAAUAAUAAUUGUUGAAGUUACAGUGUUCAUUUUUGGUGGAUAUCAACGAAAUAUGAUGCGAGAGGCUCAGACGACGACACAAACGACGACGCUCUCUCCGGUAUAUUUUCGGGACCGUCCGUAAAAACGAAACCAAAACACGCGUGCGCAUUCAAAGUGGCGCUUUAUUCCACAAGUAAAAUAAAACAUAUUGACAUAAAUAUGGGGUAACCUAGUUUAUAUGUAACAAUAAUACUGAAGAACCUUAAAGAAAUACAAAAUGGAAAAAAAAAUCAAAAGUGAGGAACAAUAGAUUUAUGUUGUGUUGUAAGAGAAACAAUCGAGACAGAGAGUCAGACGAGCGACCCGGGACUCGGUCACAAUUUUAGGGAUGCCACGUAGCAGGAAGAUCUACCACGGACGACACAUUACGCUUCCAAUAUUGUCUGCGGAGGUGGUAUCUCCCCGUUUGGUGGCUGCCUAAGUAUGUAAGAUUUUCCAAUGGAAAGUGUAUGUUUGGCAAAUGUAUCCAGGUCUUUAGAGAAUGUACUCAGAUAUUUGGGUUAGGUGUCAAGGGUUCAUGUAUAAUUUGCAUGCCUAAUUGACUAUGUAUAUUUUUUAACCUUAAUUUUUCAUUUGCAGUCACCCGACGGGAGUCAGAAACGUCAUUUUUGUGCGGACCGGCGACUCGACGGACCCCGGCCGAGGACGCCGCUCGAACCGCGGUUGCGGAGGAGCGCGCCGAUACGAGUCGGAGACGGCUCGUACAGUCGGCGCACGAGAGCGGUCCGGACGAAGACAUUCGGGAACCGAGGACGAAGACGCUCGUCGACUGCGGACGAAGACGCUCGUCGACUGCGGACGAAGACACCGGUCGACGCGCGAGGAAGAUGCUCCGGAACACGGGAAGAACGCCACACUCCCGAGUGCGGGAAGACACUCGUCAACGCAGAAGGAGACACGCAUCAAUGUCGGGCCGGCGCGAUUGUUUUAAAGACGAUUUAACGUGUAAAAUGAAUGUACGUGUUGUUUGUAACGAUUGUUAUAAUGUUUGUAGUAUUGUUUUUAGAGACCGACUCUGCGAAGACGGAGGAAGUCGAUACAUGUCGAGAAUGAAUUUAUUGAAGAUGUUGCCUGUGAUCACUAGGUGUUUGCACUAAUUUGGGGAGAUGAUUACGAUCGUAGAACGUCACGGAAUGCGGCGACGCAUCCGUAAAUAACGGCAGCAUAAAUACGAGAGAACGCGGCGGCGGCGGGGAAGUGCGCCUUUUGAAAGUAAAAGAACGGGGGAGAUCGGACCGACAUAGAUGGUGUUGUUGUGGUAACCGAUAAGAAUGGAGAAAUGAUGACUAUUUGGUGGGUUUUUUAGGACAGAGAGAGUAGUUAUAUAUUAGUGAAGAUAUAAAGUAAAAGGUGAUAAGGAUGGUGGUGGGGGGACAACGAAUGAUAUAUUUUGUAGGGUAUUAAAGGAAUUGACUCGUCAGUGCCGAGUCGGCGUAAUUGUGAGAAACGGAUGCGACGGGGAUUGUAAAGAAGUCGCGCGGUAGAGGAAUUGGCGGAAGCGACGAUCGCAAUAACCUUUCGACGUGGGACGGACGACGACGAAUUUAGUAAAUGGCGGUUUAGGAAAGGGUCGUACGUAAAGCGGCGGGUGCGGGCGCGUGCGGAUACGGACGACGGUCGAUCGGGGUCCGUUUACGGGACGGGAAAGAGGACCGACGGAGAACGGACGGGAAUUCGGACGGAGACGAGGCGGCGCACAAACGAAAGUAUACCCGCGAGAUGCGUAAAGAAUGAUUUGGAA